CAUCUCUCACAAUGCCAACAAGAAUUGUUCUACAAGUCAAGACGAUAAUCCUCCCCCUAAGUAGGAAUUCAACUGAUGCAAGUUCAUCUCUGCAGGUAUAAUUUGUCACACCUCAUGCAGAAAACAAACAUCUAGAAAAACAAGGCUGACAUUGAAUGAUGGCUUACCCACUUUGCUGACUGCUGAGAGUUGUUCAAGAGGUGGUAAUUGACAUUGGGAAUGAAAAAUAUCUAUCUGUUCUUUUUAAGUAGCAGCA
Non-coding RNA from Chiloscyllium plagiosum (whitespotted bambooshark), 256 nucleotides. NCBI's taxonomy places the organism in Eukaryota, Metazoa, Chordata, Chondrichthyes, Orectolobiformes, Hemiscylliidae. The record is from RefSeq and is a predicted model, not a curated record.